AUUUUACCCCCGGUUUGCCAUGUGCGCGCCGUAUUUCACGGAAACAAAAUUUAUUAACUGAAAAAUGAAAACCGAAGCGAAGAAAGUUGUCUCUUUUCCAAAGUAAUUCUUAAAAAUGUUAUUUCAAACAAUGUUACUCAUCAUGAGCGGUUAUACACAUAGAAUAAUGCAGAUUGUAAGCAACCUCGAUCCCAAAGCAUUUUUUAUCUUUCUGCCAUCCCGUUAUAAAAGAGACAAAGAACCCUGGGUCGCGUUGGAAAUAACUAUCGCUAUAGCGCGUUCACUGAAAUGAUAUGGACACGGAAACCGAUAGGGGCCAAAAAGAUUAUUAUCAUCUGAUACAAAAAUGGAGAGUGAUGAACAUUAAUUGGUGUGUUGAUAAAAAAACUAAAAAUAAUCGAAGAAAAAGAAAGAUAUGGGUGAAGAAAAUAUACAAAGACCGGGAAAGGAUCGUCUUGUCAUAGAAAUGCAUCUAACAAGCAGAGAGCCAUAUUUCAACUUUUUUAGGAUGUCACCUGAAGAAAGGGAACAUCUUUUGUAACUUGUUACUCCUUUUAUAGUAAAGAGACACACAUUUCUUUUAAAAAACAGUUCCUCCUGCGGAGAUAUUAAUGCUAACAUUACGUUUUCUGGCAUCUGGGGACUCGCAAAUUUCCUUGACUUAUCCUUUGCGAAUGGGAAAGAAGACUAUCACCAGCUUUAUAAGUGAAACAUGUGAAACAUUGUACUGCGUUUUUUCCAAAAUUUAAAUCCAUGCCCCUAAAAACCGAAAAAAAUGAAAAAAGAUCUCUGAAGAUUUUGAAAAGUUGUGGCAAUUUCCCCACAUAAUCGGUGCAAUCAAUGGGAAGCACAUAUGUAUUCAGGCCGCAAAUACAAGCGGAACGUUAUUUCAUAACUAAAAGGGGUUUUCAGUCUCCAGUUCCUGGCAGUUUGUGCAAAAUAUAAUUUUAAAUUGGUGAAUGAUGGAAAUUAUGGCUUCAAUAAUAAUUGCUCCGUUCUUGCCAACUCCAAUAUCGCUUAUGCCAUUGAAAACGAUUUGUUAGACGUGCCUGGGACCAAUAAAUUAAAGGAAUCCAAGAAGAAAUGCCCUAUUAUUUACUUGGAGAUGAGAUAUUCCUGUUCAACACUUGGUUGAUAAUGCCAUUUCCUGGACAUCUGAGGCUGAAUAAAUCUAUAACUUUUAUAGAGCACGCCUAUCUAUCGAAAACGCAUUUGGUAUCCUUUAUAUUUUAAAGAUCCAUGAUAGGGAAUGUUAGGAAUAUUAACUAUUUUCCCGAAAGUUAUUUCCACAUUAUCAUUACUUUCAAAAACCUGUUGAGAUUUAGUUUCUGAUCUUCCUUUUUUUCUUUUUUUUUUCUAUUUCAUUUAUUUUCCUGCGUCAGAUUUUACAUCCUGUCACAAUUUUCCUUUUUCUCAUGGAAGUUCCAGCUUUCAUUUCUCCGCCUUCGUCUUCGUGCAUGCCUUCUUCAUCGUCACUUUUACCAAUUGGUUCUUCGUCAAUUUAUUUAUUGCAACAUCUUGAUUGAUACCAACACUUAAUCAACCGGGACCAUAUGUAACAUCCAUAUUGUUUAUUGAAUCUUUGACAGCAACGUACGGGUAGUCCAUUCCAAAAAGGCGUAGUAACCCCCAAAUAAAUUGAAGACAUAUUUCUUAUUCCAAUGUAAAAGCUAAAUGUAAAUACCUGAGAUCCACAAUAUCUUACUUUCCUCGAUUCCAAGCUCUUCUUCAUUUCUUCACCAAGUAUUCUUUUUGGCACGCUUAUCCUUAUAAAGUCUAUCCCCUUUGUCAUACAAACAAAGAUAUUUCUUAAUACAAUUGCAGAUUUACUCCUCUUAGACGAGUGAUUUUAAACAGUAUGUUUAAAAGCGAGUGCUUGUUUAAGCAAUGGUGAGAUUACUGAGGCUCGUCUUGUAAGUUUGAGAGAUAUUCUACUGCAACCAAGAAAAAGAAGAAUUAAGAAAGUUAGAUGCAGAAAAAGUGAAUGCUCUUGAUAUAGGCGAGGUAGAGCAAGAUGUUUUGGAUAUCAGGUAGAUUUUAAAACCUUUAAGAGAAGUUAUAGCUGACCUCACACUUAAGAUGAAUGAAAUUAAAAUCGGUCAGAAGCUCUACAAGUUUAUGCGCGGUC
This is a long non-coding RNA of Hydractinia symbiolongicarpus, 2128 nucleotides long. RefSeq lists it as uncharacterized. The record is from RefSeq and is a predicted model, not a curated record. The transcript has 4 exons. Lineage: Eukaryota; Metazoa; Cnidaria; Hydrozoa; Anthoathecata; Hydractiniidae.